Long non-coding RNA from Triticum dicoccoides, 1409 nucleotides. RefSeq lists it as uncharacterized. NCBI's taxonomy places the organism in Eukaryota, Viridiplantae, Streptophyta, Magnoliopsida, Poales, Poaceae. The record is from RefSeq and is a predicted model, not a curated record. The transcript is spliced from 3 exons.
CCUCUUCCUGCCGCCCGCCUCUCCUCCCUUCACAUUUUUCUAUUCCUCCCUACCGCCGCCGCCCCCUCGUCUCUCCAAGGUGAAGCAACACCGCGACCACGCCGGCUCGCUGCAACGGCAUCCAACCCCAACAGCGAGGAACAACCCCCACACCCGUCUUCUCCACCUCUUCCCUGCCGUCCACGCCGCGACAUCCCACUCACCCACGUCUCGGCCUCACCGCCAGUCAAGUUGCAUCUGGAGGCGAGAAGAGAGAGCGGCCACGCCCAUAGGAGGCCAUCCCCGGCCUAAAUCCUAAGGCUCCUUUCCGGAACAAUCCCCUUCACUCGCGAUGAACAGGCGACCGGAGCUCUGCAGGAACUACCAGCACGGCAGGUUACCUGAUCCAUCUCUGCACUAAUUUAGAUACGACCACUGAUUUAGAUCCAUUGUUCCUGCCUUCAGUCGCCGCGCAGCGCGAAUGACAAAUGCAAUUGGCCGGAUUGGAUGGUCACGCGGUGUGGGGGUGGGAAAGAUGGAGAGAUGGCGGGCGUAGGGGUGGCUACUGUAGAAGGUGGGCAGAAGGAGGUGUUGUGCGGGGCCUCGACACUAGGCAGGUGCAUCUCUUCUCUGCAGCACAUGGCGAGGCUGAGAGCCCAACCCCUCUGCUUGAUGCCCUAGCCAAGUGGACGAGGGCUGGCUCCCAACCCCCCUCUGCUAGGUGCCCAGUUUUCUCUUCCACCUACGCUCUCAUUGGCCGAUUUUCUGCAGCGAUGCAACAUACAGAAGUAGUGCACUAAGUAUCCCUUAUUUUUCAUGCGCAAAUUCAUAAGGUUUCUGUUUUCUAAAGACCUAGUUACUGGGCCAACAUGGUCAUGUGACUUUGUCUUGCAGCAGAAGACUAUAUACUUCCCUAGAAUAGUGCAGCAGCGGAGAGGGGCCUAAAAGAAUGAGUGGAUGUAGCUUCUUGUUGGACUCAUGCUUCUAGAAGUGGACGUAACGACUCUGGUUUCGUUGGGCCUCAAGUAGCAGCUAGAGCAAGGGGGUGGUUCAUGAUUGUGGCUCUGUAGGCCUCCAAUAGACAACAUCAAUAAUAAGGAUAGGAGUUGUCUGCUUCAUAUCACCUCUAUCUCCACCCAAGUUUCAGUUUGCAGGAUGUGUUUGAGGGUGGCUUCUACUUGUUCAUGAAGGCAACUAAGGAGAAGUUGAUUAAAUUUCUUAAAGGAAACAAAGAUUUCAUUUUUAGGCAGGCAUGAAACUGUGAAUGCCUGCUUUUAUGCAUUGUAAAGCCUUGAUAGCAGUGUAGGUGUUCCUUGUGUUGUUCAGGCUGAGGGCAUUGCUGAUGAGUUGCUGGAGCGUCUUGAUUGGCUGGCGAAUCUGGCUAUUUAUGCUCCUUAAUUUUCAUAUUUGUAUUGGAACUAUUUACUAAA